UACAGAGGGUGCAAGCGUUAAUCGGAAUUACUGGGCGUAAAGCGUGCGUAGACGGUUACAUAAGUCAGAUGUGAAAGCCCCGGGCUCAACCUGGGAAUUGCAUUUGAGACUGCGUAGCUAGGGUGCGGAAGAGGGAAGCGGAAUUUCCGGUGUAGCGGUGAAAUGCGUAGAUAUCGGAAGGAACACCAGUGGCGAAAGCGGCUUCCUGGUCCAGCACCGACGUCAGGCACGAAGCGUGGGAGCAA
RNAcentral lists this ribosomal RNA (245 nucleotides) under uncultured bacterium. Its description in RNAcentral is "partial 16S ribosomal RNA". It matches the Rfam family "Bacterial small subunit ribosomal RNA", at positions 524 to 771 of the family's 1533-position model. The record is from RNAcentral.